AGUGGCGGACGGGUGAGUAACACGUGGGAAUCUGCCCAGCAGUACGGAAUAACUUCGGGAAACCAGCGCUAAUACCGUAUACGCCCUUCGGGGGAAAGAUUUAUCGCUGUUGGAUGAGCCCGCGCCCGAUUAGCUAGUUGGUGGGGUAAAAGCCCACCAAGACAACGAUCGGUAGCUGGUCUGAGAGGAUGAUCAGCCACACUGGGACUGAGACACGGCCCAGACUCCUACGGGAGGCAGCAGUGGGGAAUAUUGGACAAUGGGGGCAACCCUGAUCCAGCCAUGCCGCGUGAGUGAAGAAGGCCCUAGGGUUGUAAAGCUCUUUCACCAAGGACGAUGAUGACGGUACUUGGACAAGAAGCCCCGGCUAACUCCGUGCCAGCAGCCGCGGUAAUACGGAGGGGGCUAGCGUUGUUCGGAAUUACUGGGCGUAAAGCGCGCGUAGGCGGUAAUCCAAGUCAGGCGUGAAAGCCCCGGGCUCAACCUGGGAACUGCGCUUGAUACUGGGUAACUAGAGGCCGGGAGAGGGUAGUGGAAUUCCCAGUGUAGAGGUGAAAUUCGUAGAUAUUGGGAAGAACACCGGUGGCGAAGGCGGCUACCUGGACCGGACCUGACGCUGAGGUGCGAAAGCGUGGGGAGCGAACAGGAUUAGAUACCCUGGUAGUCCACGCCGUAAACGAUGAGUGCUAGAUGUUGGGGGGCUUAGCCCUUCAGUGUCACAGCUAACGCGUUAAGCACUCCGCCUGGGGAGUAC
RNAcentral lists this ribosomal RNA (754 nucleotides) under uncultured marine bacterium. RNAcentral's name for it is "bacterial SSU rRNA". It matches the Rfam family "Bacterial small subunit ribosomal RNA", at positions 94 to 883 of the family's 1533-position model. The record is from RNAcentral.